GCAAGUCGAGCGAGGCUUCGAGCCGGCGGCGAACGGCUGAGUAACACGUUGGUACGUGCCCUCUACUCAGGGAUAACUCCGUGAAAGCGGAGCUAAUACCGGAUGGUCCCGUAAGGGUAAAGAUUUUUCGGUAGAGGAGCGGCCUGCGGCCUAUCAGCUUGUUGGUGAGGUAAUAGCUCACCAAGGCUAUGACGGGUAUCUGGUGUGAGAGCAUGACC
This 218-nucleotide ribosomal RNA is filed under the name uncultured bacterium. RNAcentral's name for it is "partial 16S ribosomal RNA". It matches the Rfam family "Bacterial small subunit ribosomal RNA", at positions 57 to 305 of the family's 1533-position model. The record is from RNAcentral.